GACGAACGCUGGCGGCGUGCUUAACACAUGCAAGUCGAACGGAAAGGCCCUGCUUUUGUGGGGUGCUCGAGUGGCGAACGGGUGAGUAACACGUGAGUAACCUGCCCUUGACUUUGGGAUAACUUCAGGAAACUGGGGCUAAUACCGGAUAGGAGCUCCUGCUGCAUGGUGGGGGUUGGAAAGUUUCGGCGGUUGGGGAUGGACUCGCGGCUUAUCAGCUUGUUGGUGGGGUAGUGGCUUACCAAGGCUUUGACGGGUAGCCGGCCUGAGAGGGUGACCGGCCACAUAGGGACUGAGAUACGGCCCAGACUCCUCCGGGAGGCAGAAGUGGGGAAUAUUGCACAAUGGGCGGAAGCCUGAUGCAGAAACGCCGCGUGCGGGAGGACGGCCUUCGGGUUGUAAACCGCUUUCGCCUGUGACGAAGCGUGAGUGACGGGAAUGGGUAAAGAAGCACAGGCUAACUACGUG
Molecule: ribosomal RNA, 468 nt
Filed under: uncultured bacterium
Lineage: Bacteria
Description: partial 16S ribosomal RNA
Rfam family: Bacterial small subunit ribosomal RNA
Source: RNAcentral